CCUACGGGCGGCAGCAGUGAGGAAUAUUGGUCAAUGGGCGAUAGCCUGAACCAGCCAAGUAGCGUGAAGGAUGACUGCCCUGUGGGUUGUAAACUUCUUUGAGAUGGGAAUAAAGUGCAGUAUGUAUACUGCUUUGUCUGUACUUUAUGAAUAAGGAUCGGCUAACUCCGUGCCAGCAGCCGCGGUAAUACGGAGGAUCCGGGCGUUAUCCGGAUUUAGUGGGUUUAAAGGGAGCGUAGGUGGGUUGUUAAGUCAGUUGUUAAAGUCUGCGGCUCAACCGUAAAAUUGCAAUUGAUACUGGCAGUCUUGAGUACAGUUGAGGUAGGCGGAAUUCGUGGUGUAGCGGUGAAAUGCUUAGAUAUCACGAAGAACUUCGAUUGCGAAGGCAGCUUACUGGGCUGCAACUGACACUGAUGCUCGAAAGUGUGGGUAUCAAACAGGAUUAGAUACCCGGGUAGUC
RNAcentral lists this ribosomal RNA (460 nucleotides) under uncultured bacterium. RNAcentral's name for it is "partial 16S ribosomal RNA". It matches the Rfam family "Bacterial small subunit ribosomal RNA", at positions 338 to 795 of the family's 1533-position model. The record is from RNAcentral.